This 67-nucleotide transfer RNA is filed under the name Hydatigera krepkogorski. RNAcentral describes it as "tRNA-Met". The record is from RNAcentral. Lineage: Eukaryota; Metazoa; Platyhelminthes; Cestoda; Cyclophyllidea; Taeniidae.
AGAUCGAUAAGUUAAAUAAACUGUGGGGUUCAUGUCUCCUUAAUACAUAAUGUGUAUGUUCGGUUGA